AUUGAACGCUGGCGGCAUGCUUUACACAUGCAAGUCGAGCGGUAACAGGCCUUCGGGUGCUGACGAGUGGCGAACGGGUGAGUAAUGCAUCGGAACGUACCCAGAGGUGGGGGAUAACGCAGCGAAAGCUGUGCUAAUACCGCAUGUGAUCUGAGGAUGAAAGCGGGGGACCGAGCAGCAAUGUUUGGCCUCGCGCCUUUGGAGCGGCCGAUGUCGGAUUAGCUAGUUGGUGGGGUAAAGGCCUACCAAGGCGACGAUCCGUAGCUGGUCUGAGAGGACGACCAGCCACCCUGGGACUGAGACACGGCCCAGACUCCUACGGGAGGCAGCAGUGGGGAAUUUUGGACAAUGGGCGCAAGCCUGAUCCAGCAAUGCCGCGUGCGGGAAGAAGGCCUUCGGGUUGUAAACCGCUUUUGGCAGGAACGAAACGGUGUCCGCUAAUACCGGGCGCUAAUGACGGUACCUGCAGAAUAAGCACCGGCUAACUACGUG
Molecule: ribosomal RNA, 492 nt
Filed under: uncultured bacterium
Lineage: Bacteria
Description: partial 16S ribosomal RNA
Rfam family: Bacterial small subunit ribosomal RNA
Source: RNAcentral